Molecule: long non-coding RNA, 474 nt
Filed under: Anser brachyrhynchus (Pink-footed goose)
Lineage: Eukaryota; Metazoa; Chordata; Aves; Anseriformes; Anatidae
Description: lncRNA (ENSABRG00000019718.1)
Source: RNAcentral
AAAAAAUUGAAACUGGAAUUAAACAGAAAAUGAAUCAUAAAUACUACCAAUAAAUAAAAGCUGUAGUACCAGGAAAUUAAUCAUGCUUUUCCCAAAUCCCAUUAAAUCGCAGGACUUUGUUUAACCUGACUGACAAUGCAUGCCCUGCUAUGAAUUGUGAACAGCUGAGACUGUGAACACAAGGAAAUAGUGACUCACUGCAGAGCAUGGAGGCUGAUGAAGUGUGUUUAUGGCACAGUAGUGGUGAAUGUUUGUCCACACCUACAACAGCCACAGAUCAAGUUGGUGACGUUCCCGUUGGACUUGUGGCUGCUAUGUUCCAGUUCCAGUCCUAGGUGGAGCUUGGAAAUAUGGAAAAAAAAUCACACACAAAACUGGGAAGAGAAGCAACUGGAGGGACCUCUACCUAAGGCCCAUCAAAAGGAAAAGAAUGACAGAAGUAUGGGAAUACAGAGAAAGCGUACAGGGAAUUGA